Molecule: ribosomal RNA, 445 nt
Filed under: uncultured bacterium
Lineage: Bacteria
Description: partial 16S ribosomal RNA
Rfam family: Bacterial small subunit ribosomal RNA
Source: RNAcentral
GUGAGGAAUAUUGGUCAAUGGGCGGGAGCCUGAACCAGCCAAGUCGCGUGAAGGAAGAAGGAUCUAUGGUUCGUAAACUUCUUUUGCAGGGGAAUAAAGUGCAGGACGUGUCCUGUUUUGUAUGUACCCUGAGAAUAAGGAUCGGCUAACUCCGUGCCAGCAGCCGCGGUAAUACGGAGGAUCCAAGCGUUAUCCGGAUUUAUUGGGUUUAAAGGGUGCGCAGGCGGGUUGAUAAGUCAGCGGUGAAAGUUUGCAGCUUAACUGUAAAAUUGCCGUUGAAACUGUCGAUCUUGAGUGCAAAUGAGGUAAGCGGAAUGUGUUGUGUAGCGGUGAAAUGCUUAGAUAUAACACAGAACACCGAUUGCGAAGGCAGCUUACUGGGAUGCAACUGACGCUCAUGCACGAAAGCGUGGGGAUCAAACAGGAUUAGAAACCCGUGUAGUCC